AUAUUCAAAAAUUAUAAAUCUUUUAUUACUACUUCCCUCCAUGACAUUUUAGAUAUCUCCAUUUUCCUCCUCAUUCCUUUUACCAGUAAUUUAUUACAAUCCCAUACAUAUGCAUUUGAUUCACCGCAUUAAACCAUAUUAACACUCUCAUUUUAUUCCUAAUAUGUGCUACAUGCACUCUACAGCCGAUUUGGUAAUUUCUAAUCUUAUCCAUUAUCCUACUACAGAGACAUUCCGUAAUAUUCUAAUAGAAAAUAGCAAAAUUUUCCUAUGAAUAUAGGAGGACAUCUAAUUCCCAAAAUUGCAAAUUUAACCUUUAUACCUCAAAACCACGACAUGCAGUAAGCUAAUUCCCAUGUCUACCAGCACAAUUUGUCGUGCAAAUUCAACAAUAAUAGAAUUGAGUAUCAUCCGCAAACAAAUAUUAAUCAAGCAAAAAUUCAACCAAAAGUCGGUUACUUUUUAUACCCAACAACCAAUCUCGCAAACUCUGUCAAACCGAAACCAAACCCAGAAGCAGUAUAAAUUACACAGAAUCAAAUUCAACCAAACCCAGAACAAAUAUCAUCAGAAAGUGCAAAACCAACCAACUUCAUGAACAAGAAGUAAACAAAUGAAUCAGAGACUCGAGAAUUAUCAAAACUUACAUA
RNAcentral lists this unclassified non-coding RNA (650 nucleotides) under Hevea brasiliensis (rubber tree). Lineage: Eukaryota; Viridiplantae; Streptophyta; Magnoliopsida; Malpighiales; Euphorbiaceae. The record is from RNAcentral.